This 539-nucleotide ribosomal RNA is filed under the name uncultured bacterium. RNAcentral describes it as "bacterial SSU rRNA". It matches the Rfam family "Bacterial small subunit ribosomal RNA", at positions 971 to 1509 of the family's 1533-position model. The record is from RNAcentral.
UUACCUGGCCUUGACAUACUAAGAACUUCCAGAGAUGGAUUGGUGCCGUUCGGGAACUUAGAUACAGGUGCUGCAUGGCUGUCGUCAGCUCGUGUCGUGAGAUGUUGGGUUAAGUCCCGCAACGAGCGCAACCCUUUUCCUUAUUUGCCAGCGGGUUAAGCCGGGAACUUUAAGGAUACUGCCAGUGACAAACUGGAGGAAGGCGGGGACGACGUCAAGUCAUCAUGGCCCUUACGGCCAGGGCUACACACGUGCUACAAUGGUCGGUACAAAGGGUUGCUACCUCGCGAGAGGAUGCUAAUCUCAAAAAGCCGAUCGUAGUCCGGAUCGCAGUCUGCAACUCGACUGCGUGAAGUCGGAAUCGCUAGUAAUCGCGGAUCAGAAUGCCGCGGUGAAUACGUUCCCGGGCCUUGUACACACCGCCCGUCACACCAUGGGAGUUUGUUGCACCAGAAGUAGGUAGUCUAACCGCAAGGAGGACGCUUACCACGGUGUGGCCGAUGACUGGGGUGAAGUCGUAACAAGGUAGGCGUAGAUGA